RNAcentral lists this ribosomal RNA (117 nucleotides) under Clostridiales bacterium. The record is from RNAcentral. Lineage: Bacteria; Bacillati; Bacillota; Clostridia; Eubacteriales.
GCCGGUGUCUAUGACGGUGAGGUCCCACCCGUUCCCAUUCCGAACACGGAAGUUAAGCUCACUCGUGCUGACGAUACUUGGGGGGAAGCCCCCUGGGAAAAUAAGUAGAUGCCGGCA